RNAcentral lists this ribosomal RNA (229 nucleotides) under uncultured bacterium. Its description in RNAcentral is "partial 16S ribosomal RNA". It matches the Rfam family "Bacterial small subunit ribosomal RNA", at positions 15 to 231 of the family's 1533-position model. The record is from RNAcentral.
GAUCAUGGCUCAGGAUGAACGCUAGCUACAGGCUUAACACAUGCAAGUCGGAGGGGCAGCAUGGUCUUAGCUUGCUAAGGCCGAUGGCGACCGGCGCACGGGUGAGUAACACGUAUCCAACCUGCCGUCGUACUCUUGGACAGCCUUCUGAAAGGAAGAUUAAUACAAGAUGGCAUCAUGAGUUCACAUGUUCACAUGAUUAAAGGUAUUCCGGUAGACGAUUGGGGGA